GACGAACGCUGGCGGCGUGCUUAACACAUGCAAGUCGAACGGAAGGGCCCUGCUUUUGUGGGGUGCUCGAGUGGCGAACGGGUGAGUAACACGUGAGUAACCUGCCCUUGACUUUGGGAUAACUUCAGGAAACUGGGGCUAAUACCGGAUAGGAGCUCCUGCUGCAUGGUGGGGGUUGGAAAGUUUCGGCGGUUGGGGAUGGACUCGCGGCUUAUCAGCUUGUUGGUGGGGUAGUGGCUUACCAAGGCUUUGACGGGUAGCCGGCCUGAGAGGGUUACCGGGCACAUUGGUACUGAGAUACCGCCCAGACUCCUACGGGAGGCAGCAGUGGGGAAUAUUGCACAAUGGGCGGAAGCCUGAUGCAGCAACGCCGCGUGCGGGAUGACGGCCUUCGGGUUGUAAACCGCUUUCGCCUGUGACGAAGCGUGAGUGACGGUAAUGGGUAAAGAAGCACCGGCUAACUACGUG
RNAcentral lists this ribosomal RNA (468 nucleotides) under uncultured bacterium. RNAcentral's name for it is "partial 16S ribosomal RNA". It matches the Rfam family "Bacterial small subunit ribosomal RNA", at positions 28 to 507 of the family's 1533-position model. The record is from RNAcentral.